GAGACACCCCUAUGGGGCAGGACUUGAGUCAGUGGAGCUUUGGCGCUCACUGAAUCUGCCCCUUGAGUGUGUCACA
Molecule: non-coding RNA, 76 nt
Organism: Myotis davidii
Lineage: Eukaryota; Metazoa; Chordata; Mammalia; Chiroptera; Vespertilionidae
Source: Rfam